CACAACAGGUGGAGCCUGCGGUUUAAUCGGACUCAACGCCGGGAAACUCACCCGAUAAGACAGCUGAAUGAUAGUCGGGCUGAAGACUCUACUUGACUAGCUGAGAGGAGGUGCAUGGCCGUCGUCAGUUCGUACUGUGAAGCAUCCUGUUAAGUCAGGCAACGAGCGAGACCCACGCCAACAGUUGCCAGCUCGUCCUCCGGGAUGGUGGGGACACUGUUGGGACCGCCUCUGCUAAAGAGGAGGAAGGAAUGGGCAACGGUAGGUCAGCAUGCCCCGAAUUGUCCGGGCUACACGCGGGCUACAAUGGGUGGGACAAUGGGUAUCGACACCGAAAGGUGAAGGCAAUCUCCUAAACCCAUCCUUAGUUCGGAUUGUGGGCUGUAACUCGCCCACAUGAAGCUGGAAUCCGUAGUAAUCGUGUUUCAAAAUAGCACGGUGAAUAUGUCCCUGCUCC
RNAcentral lists this ribosomal RNA (457 nucleotides) under uncultured archaeon. RNAcentral describes it as "bacterial SSU rRNA". It matches the Rfam family "Archaeal small subunit ribosomal RNA", at positions 880 to 1336 of the family's 1478-position model. The record is from RNAcentral.